GAUGAACGCUGGCGGCGUGCCUAAUACAUGCAAGUCGAGCGAACAGACGAGGAGCUUGCUCCUCUGACGUUAGCGGCGGACGGGUGAGUAACACGUGGAUAACCUACCUAUAAGACUGGGAUAACUUCGGGAAACCGGAGCUAAUACCGGAUAACAUGUUGAACCGCAUGGUUUAACAGUGAAAGACGGUCUUGCUGUCACUUAUAGAUGGAUCCGCGCCGCAUUAGCUAGUUGGUAAGGUAACGGCUUACCAAGGCAACGAUGCGUAGCCGACCUGAGAGGGUGAUCGGCCACACUGGAACUGAGACACGGUCCAGACUCCUACGGGAGGCAGCAGUAGGGAAUCUUCCGCAAAGGGCGAAAGCCUGACGGAGCAACGCCGCGUGAGUGAAGAAGGUCUUCGGAUCGUAAAACUCUGUUAUUAGGGAAGAACAAAUGUGUAAGUAACUAUGCACGUCUUGACGGUACCUAAUCAGAAAGCCACGGCUAACUACGUG
Molecule: ribosomal RNA, 497 nt
Filed under: uncultured bacterium
Lineage: Bacteria
Description: partial 16S ribosomal RNA
Rfam family: Bacterial small subunit ribosomal RNA
Source: RNAcentral